UUCAUAUGCGAACUGGAGACGUUUUAUCUUGGUAACUGCAGAUAGCAAAGGUGUUUGAACAGGCCUUCGUCUUUCAUAUUCCAUACAAUGCAGUGUAAUGCUGAUUUGCCUACGAAUGUCAGGUGGUCAUAAUAAUCUGGCCACUCAGUGGGAGUGUGUGUGUGUGUGUGUGUGUGU
Pipistrellus kuhlii (Kuhl's pipistrelle) is the source of this 177-nucleotide long non-coding RNA. RefSeq lists it as uncharacterized. NCBI's taxonomy places the organism in Eukaryota, Metazoa, Chordata, Mammalia, Chiroptera, Vespertilionidae. The transcript is spliced from 3 exons. The record is from RefSeq and is a predicted model, not a curated record.